RNAcentral lists this signal recognition particle RNA (99 nucleotides) under Acidimicrobium ferrooxidans DSM 10331. RNAcentral's name for it is "Bacterial small signal recognition particle RNA". It matches the Rfam family "Bacterial small signal recognition particle RNA". From Rfam's summary of the family: The signal recognition particle (SRP) is a universally conserved ribonucleoprotein involved in the co-translational targeting of proteins to membranes. Archaeal SRP consists of a 7S RNA and homologues of the eukaryotic SRP19 and SRP54 proteins. In most bacteria, the SRP consists of a 4.5S RNA and the Ffh protein (a homologue of the eukaryotic SRP54 protein). The record is from Rfam by way of RNAcentral. Lineage: Bacteria; Bacillati; Actinomycetota; Acidimicrobiia; Acidimicrobiales; Acidimicrobiaceae. RNAcentral also lists the same sequence under 1 other name.
AGCCGGGCCCCACGCGGCGGGUCCCCGUGAACCGGGUCAGGGCCGGGAGGCAGCAGCCCUCAGCGGAGCGAUUCGGGUGCCGUGGCCAGCCUGGCUUCC